UGGAGUCUGCAACUCGACUCCAUGAAGCUGGAUUCGCUAGUAAUCGCGCAUCAGCCAUGGCGCGGUGAAUACGUUCCCGGGCCUUGUACACACCGCCCGUCAAGCCAUGGGAGUCGGGAGUGCCUGAAGUUCGUGACCGUCACAGGAGCGACCUAAGGCAAGACCGAUGACUGGGGCUAAGUCGUAACAAGGUAGC
Molecule: ribosomal RNA, 196 nt
Filed under: uncultured bacterium
Lineage: Bacteria
Description: partial 16S ribosomal RNA
Rfam family: Bacterial small subunit ribosomal RNA
Source: RNAcentral